CAGGGUAGCCUAGUGGUUAGAGCGUUGGACUAGUAACCGAAAGGUUGCAAGUUCGAAUAAAAGUAAAAUUAAAAAAUAAGUCCUUGUAUGUCGAUUUAUCCCUGAUUGACCCACAUUCACUGAGUCCUGAACAUAACCUAAUACGGGUUCACUUUAACUGCUCUUAUUUUGGCACAAAAGUGAGAGGUCUAUCACUCCUGAGUCUGUCUGGUGUGUUGCGAGGUGAUCCUUUCCAGUCAGGUCCUAUCCUCUCCUGUCAGGUCCUCUCCUCUCCUGUCAGGUCCUCUCCUCUCCUGUCAGGUCCUCUCCUCUCCUGUCAGGUCCUCUCCUCUCCUGUCCUCUCCUCUCCUGUCAGGUCCUCUCCUCUCCUGUCAGGUCCUCUCCUCUCC
Long non-coding RNA from Oncorhynchus tshawytscha (Chinook salmon), 389 nucleotides. Lineage: Eukaryota; Metazoa; Chordata; Actinopteri; Salmoniformes; Salmonidae. The record is from Ensembl.